UAUAAUUAAUUGUAUGAUACAAAUUAAAUUUUGAAUUUAAAUUAAAUGGUUUAAUUCUAUUAAUUAUAU
RNAcentral lists this transfer RNA (69 nucleotides) under Diadromus collaris. Its description in RNAcentral is "tRNA-Gln". The record is from RNAcentral. Lineage: Eukaryota; Metazoa; Arthropoda; Insecta; Hymenoptera; Ichneumonidae.